GCGGAUGUAGCCAAGUGGAUCAAGGCAGUGGAUUGUGAAUCCACCAUGCGCGGGUUCAAUUCCCGUCGUUCGCCCAUCACAUUAUUUCAAAUUCAAAAAAUGAGAUUUUCAAUAUUCCUAUUUACGGCGACGGAGAAUAAAACUAUCACUAUAUUUUUUCCUUUUCCUACUUCUUCUUCCAAGCGCAGGAUAACCCCAGGGGGUUGUGGGUUUUUUUCUACCAAUUGGGGCUCUCCCUUCCCCGCCCCCAUGGGGAUGGUCUACAGGGUUCAUAACUACUCCUCUUACUACAGGACGCUUACCUAG
This 306-nucleotide transfer RNA is filed under the name Asparagus officinalis (garden asparagus). RNAcentral's name for it is "tRNA-His". The stretch from base 1 to 74 matches the Rfam family "tRNA". The record is from RNAcentral. Lineage: Eukaryota; Viridiplantae; Streptophyta; Magnoliopsida; Asparagales; Asparagaceae.